Molecule: ribosomal RNA, 1572 nt
Filed under: Escherichia coli
Lineage: Bacteria; Pseudomonadati; Pseudomonadota; Gammaproteobacteria; Enterobacterales; Enterobacteriaceae
Description: bacterial LSU rRNA
Rfam family: Bacterial large subunit ribosomal RNA
Source: RNAcentral
UGCUGGAGGUAUCAGAAGUGCGAAUGCUGACAUAAGUAACGAUAAAGCGGGUGAAAAGCCCGCUCGCCGGAAGACCAAGGGUUCCUGUCCAACGUUAAUCGGGGCAGGGUGAGUCGACCCCUAAGGCGAGGCCGAAAGGCGUAGUCGAUGGGAAACAGGUUAAUAUUCCUGUACUUGGUGUUACUGCGAAGGGGGGACGGAGAAGGCUAUGUUGGCCGGGCGACGGUUGUCCCGGUUUAAGCGUGUAGGCUGGUUUUCCAGGCAAAUCCGGAAAAUCAAGGCUGAGGCGUGAUGACGAGGCACUACGGUGCUGAAGCGACAAAUGCCCUGCUUCCAGGAAAAGCCUCUAAGCAUCAGGUAACAUCAAAUCGUACCCCAAACCGACACAGGUGGUCAGGUAGAGAAUACCAAGGCGCUUGAGAGAACUCGGGUGAAGGAACUAGGCAAAAUGGUGCCGUAACUUCGGGAGAAGGCACGCUGAUAUGUAGGUGAAGCGACUUGCUCGUGGAGCUGAAAUCAGUCGAAGAUACCAGCUGGCUGCAACUGUUUAUUAAAAACACAGCACUGUGCAAACACGAAAGUGGACGUAUACGGUGUGACGCCUGCCCGGUGCCGGAAGGUUAAUUGAUGGGGUUAGCGGUAACGCGAAGCUCUUGAUCGAAGCCCCGGUAAACGGCGGCCGUAACUAUAACGGUCCUAAGGUAGCGAAAUUCCUUGUCGGGUAAGUUCCGACCUGCACGAAUGGCGUAAUGAUGGCCAGGCUGUCUCCACCCGAGACUCAGUGAAAUUGAACUCGCUGUGAAGAUGCAGUGUACCCGCGGCAAGACGGAAAGACCCCGUGAACCUUUACUAUAGCUUGACACUGAACAUUGAGCCUUGAUGUGUAGGAUAGGUGGGAGGCUUUGAAGUGUGGACGCCAGUCUGCAUGGAGCCGACCUUGAAAUACCACCCUUUAAUGUUUGAUGUUCUAACGUGGGCCCCUUACCGGGGUUGCGGACAGUGUCUGGUGGGUAGUUUGACUGGGGCGGUCUCCUCCUAAAGAGUAACGGAGGAGCACGAAGGUUGGCUAAUCCUGGUCGGACAUCAGGAGGUUAGUGCAAUGGCAUAAGCCAGCUUGACUGCGAGCGUGACGGCGCGAGCAGGUGCGAAAGCAGGUCAUAGUGAUCCGGUGGUUCUGAAUGGAAGGGCCAUCGCUCAACGGAUAAAAGGUACUCCGGGGAUAACAGGCUGAUACCGCCCAAGAGUUCAUAUCGACGGCGGUGUUUGGCACCUCGAUGUCGGCUCAUCACAUCCUGGGGCUGAAGUAGGUCCCAAGGGUAUGGCUGUUCGCCAUUUAAAGUGGUACGCGAGCUGGGUUUAGAACGUCGUGAGACAGUUCGGUCCCUAUCUGCCGUGGGCGCUGGAGAACUGAGGGGGGCUGCUCCUAGUACGAGAGGACCGGAGUGGACGCAUCACUGGUGUUCGGGUUGUCAUGCCAAUGGCACUGCCCGGUAGCUAAAUGCGGAAGAGAUAAGUGCUGAAAGCAUCUAAGCACGAAACUUGCCCCGAGAUGAGUUCUCCCUGACUCCUUGA